GGCAUAUAGUCCUCGCUUUUCACCACCGUAAGGUGGUGGUGGAAUAAGUGCUGGGCAAGACCGGUGCCAGCCGCCGCGGUAAUACCGGCAGCACGAGUGAUGACCGCUAUUAUUGGGCCUAAAGCGUCCGUAGCUGGCCACGCAAGUCUAUCGGGAAAUCUGCGCGCUUAACGCGCAGGCGUCCGGUGGAAACUGCGUGGCUUGGGACCGGAAGACCAGAGGGGUACGUCCGGGGUAGGAGUGAAAUCCCGUAAUCCUGGACGGACCACCGGUGGCGAAAGCGCCUCUGGAAGACGGAUCCGACGGUGAGGGACGAAAGCUCGGGUCACGAACCGGAUUAGAUACCCGGGUAGUCCGAGCUGUAAACGAUGUCUGCUAGGUGUGGCACAGGCUACGAGCCUGUGCUGUGCCGUAGGGAAGCCGAGAAGCAGACCGCCUGGGAAGUACGUCCGCAAGGAUGAAACUUAAAGGAAUUGGGGGGGGACCCACA
RNAcentral lists this ribosomal RNA (490 nucleotides) under uncultured euryarchaeote. RNAcentral describes it as "bacterial SSU rRNA". It matches the Rfam family "Archaeal small subunit ribosomal RNA", at positions 392 to 881 of the family's 1478-position model. The record is from RNAcentral. Lineage: Archaea; Methanobacteriati; Methanobacteriota.